CCUACGGGUGGCAGCAGUGGGGAAUAUUGGGCAUUGGGCGCAAGCCUGACCCAGCAACGCCUCGUGAAGGAAGAAGGCUUUCGGGUUGUAAACUUCUUUUCUCAGGGACGAAGAAAGUGACGGUACCUGAGGAAUAAGCCACGGCUAACUACGUUCCAGCAGCCGCGGUAAUACGUAGGUGGCAAGCGUUAUCCGGAUUUAUUGGGUGUAAAGGGCGUGUAGGCGGGAGCGAGAGUCCGAGGUGAAAACUCAGGGCUCAACCCUGGGCCUGGAUUGGAAACUGUGUUUGUUGAGUGCUGGAGAGGCAAUCGGAAUUCCGGGUGUAGCGGUGAAAUGCGUAGAUAUACGGAGGAACACCAGUGGCGAAGGCGGAUUGCUGGACAGUAACUGACGCUGAGGCGCGAAAGCGUGGGGAGCAAACAGGAUUAGAUACCCGAGUAGUC
This 443-nucleotide ribosomal RNA is filed under the name uncultured bacterium. Its description in RNAcentral is "partial 16S ribosomal RNA". It matches the Rfam family "Bacterial small subunit ribosomal RNA", at positions 338 to 795 of the family's 1533-position model. The record is from RNAcentral.